GUGGGCGUGGCCUAGCGGUUAAGGCGCCUGGUUGUGGCCCAGGAGAUCGAGGGUUCAAAUCCCUCCGUCCACCCCA
Molecule: transfer RNA, 76 nt
Filed under: Pseudomonadota bacterium
Lineage: Bacteria; Pseudomonadati; Pseudomonadota
Also listed under: 3 other names
Description: tRNA-His
Rfam family: tRNA
About the family: Transfer RNA (tRNA) molecules are approximately 80 nucleotides in length. Their secondary structure includes four short double-helical elements and three loops (D, anti-codon, and T loops).
Source: RNAcentral